AACAACAGUAAUAUAAUAAUUAAUGGAAGCGAGUAACGUGACAAAGUAAUAAAAGAACUACAGAGAGAACACAAGCAAUGGGGAUUUCAGAACUUGGUUGGAUAGUUCUUUCAUGCAUUUUUACAGUACCAAAUAGAUUAGUAAGGGUAAAAGAAGAAAAAGAAGAGGAUUCCAUUCCUGGUGAUUCCACUAAGGAAGCAUCAGGUUAGAAUAAGCAGAUUUGAGAAUUCUAUACCAAUUUUCCAGCAGAAAAACAUCAAGCUUCUGUUCCUGGCUCCUGCAUUCUCUCUUGAAAAAGUAACAAAGAGUGCCUCCUCCAGUUCCCUACUUCAGUCACACAAUUCUCUUCAAGAAUACUCUUUAUUAUCUUUCUCUAACUUUCUCAUCGAGAUGUUGAUACAGAGUAUUGUUCCAAAAACCUGAUCAAAUCAAAAUGUCAUGCCAUGUUUUGCAGAAUAGAUAUAUGAGGCUCAACGUGAGUACUCCUAGCCAGACAAGAGUUAUCUUGGCAUGUCGCUCACCAUAAAUCACAUUGUGGAACGUGGUCAUCAACAAGUCAAGGAUCCAGGAAAAAUAUUCCAUCACGGGCCUCUAGAACGCUACAAAUUUUGCAAUCUACACCACAAAAUCAUAUUUCUCGAAAUGCCCGAGGAAUUCCAACUCAUCGUUGUACCUGUCAGCCUAAAUGUUAUUUCAGGCACAGAUCCCAAAAAAGAAAGCACAACUACUUACUUAUGACAGUAAGACCUUGAAGAGGAUUUUCCAAGCACAAUUAAAAGGUUAAUAUCAAAGCAAGAGUAACAUACUAUGAUUUCCAAUGGGCAAGCUAGAAUACAGUGAAGAACAAUCUGGCAUUAGAUCAGGAACAGAUAAUAAUUCAAAAAAUUUAACAGGGGUCCAUUAUAAUUCUUAAUUUUAUUUUAAGGAGGAAAUGAAAUAAAUAGAUAAGAACAAGAAUUUUCAAUCAGAAAUCCAAAGACAUUAGUUUAUGGGCGAAAAACUUCACGUCAUAUAUUUGACCUGGUCAGCGGAGAUAAAGCCUUUGAAGGCCAUGACGUGUUGAACUUACCCUAAAAGGUCGAGGUCAAGUAAGGAAGGCAAAUUGUCGUCGAGGACGAGGUGGCUCGACAGAAGACGAAUACCCGACCUCAGUACGCAGUAAUGGCUAGUUUAAGGAUUUAGAUUUCCUAAGAGAAUAUUCUUCUCUGUUGUACUAUUUAGGGUUUUAUGGCCCAUAUACCCUUAUAAAUAGGAAGAGAUAGAGAUGUAGUUCUAGAAAGGGAAUCAAACAUUUCUGUAAAGAACAACAUUGACACUAUCUGUGAAGAUUCUCUCUUUAUUGAAUACAUACAAAGUUUACCUUUAUAUUCCUUAUCUUCUAUCUUUCUCUCCCGAUCCAAGAAGAAUCGGAAAAUUCAAUUGCUUAUCAUCAUCCAUCAUUGUCAGAACGCUCAAUGGAAAAUCUCACCCUUGUCGGGUGAACCUUGUUCUAUUUAUUACUUAAAUGUCAUUUAUUGCUAUCUUUCGCGUUCUUAAGUCAUUAUUGCUCUCAGACACUCUUAUCUUACAACACACAUCUAAUACUCUCCAUAAAAAUAUCAGAUCUGCUACUUGGAUAUUAAUAUUGACUUGGAUUAAUCAUUUUCUCUACAAAUCUAAUUGUAUUUAAACCUAGAUCUAAAUUUUGGGUUAUACAGUUUGGCGUCAUGUGUGGGGGAUUUCUUAGUCAAAUUUUUAGUUUCCAUUCGGAUUUACAACUUUCGUGACUUGUUAACCUAACGUGUUGUAAAGUUAUCCUUUCUCUCUACGAAGCCGCAGUGUCGACCAUAGAGGACCUCGAUCCCGUCCUGCUAGACCACAGCGACCCCAGCAAAAAGGCCUACAUUGGUUGCAAACUCCAAAACCCAGGUAAAUUUAGUCAAUUCUUAAUAAUUAGCAGAUUUAUUUGCCUUUAGCCAUGCAGAUAGGCCCUGCAUCACCAAAGAGAUAGCCACGCACAAGCUAAAUGUCGACCCCUACUACCCCCAAUAAGGCGGGUCCAGCGAAAGUUCAACCCCACCAUCAAUGAAGCCGUCCACGAGGAGGUAGAGAAAUGAUUAGCCAAUGGCUCUAUUAGGGAGUCUAAGUACCCCAAGUGAAUUGUCAACGUGGUAAUGGUCAAAAAGAAGAACGGGAAAUGGAUGAUGUGCGUGGACUUACCGAUCCGAACAAAGUCUGCCCAAAAGAUUCUUUCUCAUUGCCACACAUCGACCAACUCAUCGACACGAUAACAAGACAUGAGUUGCUAAGUUUCCUGGACACUUACUCAGGCUACAAUAAGAUACUCAUGGAGGAAGACGACCAAGAAAAAACUACGUUCAUCACUCACAGGGGAACGUACUGCUACAGGGUCAUGCCAUUCGGGUUGAAGAACGCGGGAGCUACCUAUCAAAGGUUGGUCAUGAAAAUGUUCAAAAACCGGGCAUAUCUGCAUGGCUAAAGGCAAACAAAUUUGCGUUAGCUAUUAAGAAUUGACUAAAUUUACCUGGGUUUUGGAGUUUGCAACCGAUGUAGGCCUUUUUGCUAGGGUCGGUGUGGUCUAGCAGGACGGGAUCGAGGUCCUCUAUGGUCGACCCUACGGCUUCGACCGUCUCUAGGUCCAUAAUGGUAUCUUUGGCUUCGACCUGCAGGGACCUCGACCCUGCUGAUUACUUUGCUUCCUUUUCUUUCUUUUUUUGGGUCGUCGUACCGUUCUGGGCGAUCCAAUAGCAUUCCCGAGAUGUGUGUUGUUCUCGUCGUAUGUUGAAUAUUCCCCGGGGGUCAGGAACUUGAUCACUUGGUACAAGCUGGAGGGGGCUGCCCUCAUAGGAUGUCGACCUAUGAUGGCGGUGAAUGCGGUAACCUAAUCCAUGAUAUGGAAUGUGGUCUCUAGCGUCACCCCACCAGCAAGGACGAGGAGUGUGAUCUUGCCAGAAGUUCGUUCAGCUGCAUUGUUAAAACCGGUUAGUGUAAUGCAGUGGGACACUAUCUUAUCCUCAAGUCGCAUCUGUACGAGGAGCCGAGGAUGGAUGAUGCACGCUCCACUUUCGUCGUCUACCAUAAUUCUCCUAGUAUCAGUAUCAAGCAUCCAUAAAGUAAUGACAAGUGCAUCAUUGUGAGGGAAAGUCAAACCGUCGACAUCUGACUCGUCGAAGAUGAUACUUUCUUUGAGGUCGUCAUACCAUUCGUGGGUGAUUGAUCUCUUGAGUUUGUGAGUGGUGGUGGACUUGAUGUCAUUGAUGGAGGCGUCGUCACUGCCACCAAUAAUCAUGUUGAUGGUACGAGCGGGCGAGGGCCGCUUUGGUGGGCCUGGGCGUUCUCGACCCCUUACUAAGGUGUUCCUGCCUUUGUCGCUGAGUAAUUCUUUGAGGUGUCCCUGCUGCAGCAGGUUCGCUACUUCUAAUCUUAGAGCGUGGCAAUCUUCCAUUUUGUGUCCACGUUCUUGGUGGAACUCACAAAAGGCGUCUGACUUCCUGGUGCCUGGGUCGGACCUCAUCUUUGGUGGUCACUUCACCUUUUUUCCGAGCUUCUCGAGUGUGUAGACCACCUCUGUAGGUGACACACAAAAGUUAUGAGCAGAGAGUAAGGGGCGCAUACCUUGAUCGUUUUUGUGAAUGUCUGAUCUCGACCUAGAAGUAUCGUCUUCACAGCGGAAGUUAGGGACGGGUGCCCUGAUGUAAGGUUGAUGCCGAUCUCUGCCCCAUUGCAGUACUGGAGGGUCUCUCCUCGCGUUGUCCCUGAGUUCCCUCCGGGGUUCGGAUUGUAUUGAGGUGAGUCGUUGGGUUGGCCCAUUGAGGUCUUUGUCAUCUGCCCUGACCUCGGCACAGUAGGCAUUGAUCUCGUCCCACAUAGCCGGCGGGUACUUCAUUAAUCGACUCAGUAAUUUUCUGGUCGCCUUUGAGCCUUCUUUGUGCAGCCCGUUUUGACAGGCUGCUAUGGCCAUUCCUUCGGAGAGGUUUGGUAAAGUCAUCCUCACCAUGUGGAAUCGGGCUAGGAACAUUCACCCUCGUUUAGGCUUUCUUGGCCUUAGCAUGUGCCGUCACGAACUUGUCUUCUAUCUCUUCGAAUGUUUCUAUGGAAUAGGCCCGCAGCUGCGAAUACCACGUUAACGCCCCUCCUGUGAGGGUUCCACCUAAUUUUUUCAACAAGAUGGAGGAAACUUGUUCUUCGGUGAGGUCGUUGUCUUUUACGGCGGUGACAUAGUGAGUCGCAUGGUCUUCGAGAUCAGUCGUUCCGUCGUAGAUUCGGAGGUACAGGGGCAUCUUGAAAGUUUUUGGUAUGGCAUGAGAAGUCGCUUCCUCCCUGUACGGCUAUUCCACAAACCUACCAGCGUCUCUUUUUGGAAGCAGUUUGGGGGCAUUUUGUCUACCCGUUCAUGAUGCUCCUUCAUUUGUUCCUUGAGCAUCUUGUUUUCGUUUUCCAUUUCCUCCAUUCUCUUUAGCACGGCGGCGAAGACGCUGUCACCUGCACUGUCAAACAAUUGUAUGAGCGAUACCUGAAGUAGGAGGGUCGGGUAGCUCGCCUUGCUCGUUCCUACGCUGUGUUGCAUGGAUCCCGGUGGUCUCCAUGGUCGCGCAUGGAGCUUGCUUGCUUAUUACGCUGUCCAGAGUGUCGCUCAACCAUGUUUUGAGGAGCUUUUUCAUGGCGGGUGGCGCUCCCUCUCCCGCAGACGUGGAAGCCCCUAUCCCAUUCGGUUUAGUGGUGUUACAAAAGGGUGUAGGUAGGUGACUUCCCUAAUCUGGGGGAGGCCGUAGGGUUUACCUCCUCAUCUUGGGUUUCAUACCCUUCGUCGAUGUCACUCAUAAGGUUGAGCGGGACAUUUUCCGUUGCCUUUGCUCUGUUUCCUUGGUUACUUGCCGUAGAAUCCUUGUAUACGCAAAGAGAAAGGAUAACUUUACAGCACGUUAGGUUAACAAGUCACGAAAGUUGUAGAUCCGAAUGGAAACUAAAAUUUGACUAAGAAAUCCCCACACAUGGCACCAAACUAUAUAACCCAAAAUUUAAAUCUAGAUUUAAAUACAAUUAGAUUUAUAGAGAAAAGGAUUAAUCCAAGUCAAUAUAAUAUCCGAGUAGGAAAUCUAGUAUUUUUAUGGAGAGUAUCAGAUGUGUACUAUAAGAUAAGAGUGUCUUAAAGCAAUAAUGGCUUAAGAACGUGAAAAUAGCAAUAAAUGGCAUUUAAGUAAUAAAUAGAACAAGGUUCACCUGACAAGGGUGAGAUUUUACACUGAGCUUUCUGGCAAUGAUGGAUGAUGAUAAGCAAUUGAAUAUUCUGAUUCUUCUUGGAUCGGGAGAGAAAGAUAGAAGAAAAGGAGUAUAAAGGUAAACUUUGUAUGUAUUCAACAAAGAGAGAAUCUUCACGGAGAAUGUCAAUGUUAUUCAUUACAGAAAUGUUUGAUCCCCUUUUCUAGAACUUCAUCUCUUCCUAUUUAUAAGGGUACAUGGGCCAUAAAACCCUAGAUAGUACAACAGAGAGGAAUAUUCACUAGAAUAUUCCCUUAGGAAAUCAAAAUCCUUAAAUUAGUCGUUACUGCGUACUGAGGUCGGGUACUCGUCCUCGUCCUCGCCUUAUGUCGAGCCAACUCGUCCUCGACGAAAAUUUGUCUUCCUUACGUGACCUCGACCUUUGGGUCAGGUCGACACGUCACAACAUCGACACGUCAUGGCCUUCAAAGGCUUUAUCUCCAUUGACCAAGUCAAAUAUAUGACGUGAAGUUUUUCGUCCAUACAAUUAGUAAACAAACAAAAACUAGAUUAGAAGUCAUAUUCUGACAAUGCUAUGCAGCUUCAUUCCAACUCCCACCACCAUAAGCCCGGAAAACAUUACCUACUCUUGAAUUAAAGAGAAAGAAUGAGUAGGGAAUACUAGUUUCAUCUAAAUCAAAUCAUCUACAAACUGGAAUUCCUAGUAGCAAAAUGAAGAUAGUAACACGUUCCUAUUAUUAGAUCAAUAGAGUUCAAUGUCUACGGUGUUAUUCAUUUCUGUUGCAUUUAUAUGCAGUGGCUGAAAAUGUACAAGUAGUCCUGGAUGUCUCCUACUAUGAGCGAAAGAAGCUCAUAAGGUCCGGAUGUUUCCUAUGUCCUGUACAAUGGUCCUCCUCUUACACCAAAAAUGUAAAUUUUGUAAGUAUCUAAAUAUUGUAAGCAUGACAGUACAUAUGACUUGCAAAUCAUUUAUUGUAUGAACCAUUUUUUCCAGGAGAAUAAAAUAAGAGUAUGGAAGAACAAUUCAAACUCUUUCAGAUAUUUUUUCUUUGAACGGGUAAGUAAUGAUUAUAUUGAUAAAAAAGAUAGUCUCAAACUCUUGCAGGUAAGUUUCUAGGACAAUAUCAGCAACCUCAUUUAUCUGGCAUACUUUUAUCUUUUGGAUCUUUAUACUUACAGUUUCAUCAUUUAAAUGAUUCAAUUAACUCAGAGCUAGCAUCAUGUCUAACCGACCAUCUAUCUAAGGUUCUCAUAAAGUUGAACCUUCCUACAAAGGGCAAACAAUCUCCCCAAGAGCUCAAAUUACCAUUUUAUUUUGACAUUCAUGCAUGGCUCCUCACAACAACUCUAUAUCUUCCAUGCAUUUGAGCAGUAUUUCAGUUUAAUCUUGUAUUGAUUCAAGAACAUUAAUCUAUCCAUCACAGACCCCUCGCAAAACUAACUCAACUGUUACAUGAUACUCAGGGACCUGAGUACAUUAAUAUGUUGUGUAUCAUAUUAUACAUCAGUUGACAGAUUUUAGUGGUAAAGACUCAACAGCGAAAUGAACAUCACCAGAUAUUGGAUGAAAUCAACCAUCAUUUCUCGGAAAUAACAGCUCAUCCAUUGACACCAUUAUGACGUAUAUCUCAGUAUAAUCACAUAGAAGGAUUGCACGAAGAAAAUGAAAAAACAAGAACUAAAGAACUGUUAUCUAAUUUCACCUUUUGCAUCAGUUGCGAGUUGCGACUAUGUCUGAGCACAGAAGAUUGUUUUUGUGGCGCAAAAGAGAAGCAGACACAUCCUCCAUUGAGUUGCACCCAUUCAAUAUGACUAACCAAUCCUUGAUGCACACAAAAAAAUUUAUGAAGAUGAGAUAACCUCCAUAUAACUCGUAUCUUUAACUACUCUAACCAAAAGAGAGAAAGAGUGUCAAGAGAAGAAAAGCACACACCUGCAUUGCACUGGAACCAAGAACCACAAAGAUUUUCGCUCCCUCUCGAAGAACAGGGUACUCAAAAGUAGUUUAAGUGUGAAAUAACAAUGACAGAAUACGGGGUACCAAAAGCAAUGACGGAAUGAGUCUAUUAGACCACUCUCAAAAUUCUCGGCCAU
Molecule: long non-coding RNA, 7314 nt
Filed under: Nicotiana tabacum (common tobacco)
Lineage: Eukaryota; Viridiplantae; Streptophyta; Magnoliopsida; Solanales; Solanaceae
Description: long non-coding RNA (NTAB_LNC000531)
Source: RNAcentral